GAAACAGGUGCUAAGACCGUAUAACACUAUUUUCCGCAUGGAAGAAAGUUGAAAGGCGCUUUUGCGUCACUGAUGGAUGGACCCGCGGUGCAUUAGCUAGUUGGUGAGGUAACGGCUCACCAAGGCCACGAUGCAUAGCCGACCUGAGAGGGUGAUCGGCCACACUGGGACUGAGACACGGCCCAGACUCCUACGGGAGGCAGCAGUAGGGAAUCUUCGGCAAUGGACGAAAGUCUGACCGAGCAACGCCGCGUGAGUGAAGAAGGUUUUCGGAUCGUAAAACUCUGUUGUUAGAGAAGAACAAGGAUGAGAGUAGAACGUUCAUCCCUUGACGGUAUCUAACCAGAAAGCCACGGCUAACUACGUGCCAGCAGCCGCGGUAAUACGUAGGUGGCAAGCGUUGUCCGGAUUUAUUGGGCGUAAAGCGAGCGCAGGCGGUUUCUUAAGUCUGAUGUGAAAGCCCCCGGCUCAACCGGGGAGGGUCAUUGGAAACUGGGAGACUUGAGUGCAGAAGAGGAGAGUGGAAUUCCAUGUGUAGCGGUGAAAUGCGUAGAUAUAUGGAGGAACACCAGUGGCGAAGGCGGCUCUCUGGUCUGUAACUGACGCUGAGGCUCGAAAGCGUGGGGAGCGAACAGGAUUAGAUACCCUGGUAGUCC
This 656-nucleotide ribosomal RNA is filed under the name uncultured bacterium. RNAcentral's name for it is "bacterial SSU rRNA". It matches the Rfam family "Bacterial small subunit ribosomal RNA", at positions 153 to 796 of the family's 1533-position model. The record is from RNAcentral.